Molecule: non-coding RNA, 48 nt
Filed under: Schistosoma mansoni
Lineage: Eukaryota; Metazoa; Platyhelminthes; Trematoda; Strigeidida; Schistosomatidae
Source: RNAcentral
AUACAGCUAACGAGUCCAAAAUAGGACGAAACGCGCGUCAAACUGGAU